Molecule: ribosomal RNA, 468 nt
Filed under: uncultured bacterium
Lineage: Bacteria
Description: partial 16S ribosomal RNA
Rfam family: Bacterial small subunit ribosomal RNA
Source: RNAcentral
GACGAACGCUGGCGGCGUGCUUAACACAUGCAAGUCGAACGGAAAGGCCCUGCUCUUGUGGGGUGCUCGAGUGGCGAACGGGUGAGUAACACGUGAGUAACCUGCCCUUGACUUUGGGAUAACUUCAGGAAACUGGGGCUAAUACCGGAUAGGAGCUCCUGCUGCAUGGUGGGGGUUGGAAAGUUUCGGCGGUUGGGGAUGGACUCGCGGCUUAUCAGCUUGUUGGUGGGGUAGUGGUUUACCAAGGCUUUGACGGGUAGCCGGCCUGGGAGGGGGACCGGCGACAUUGGGACUGAGAGACGGCCCAGACGCCAACGGGAGGCAGCAGGGGAGAAUAUGGCACAAUGGGCGGAAGCCUGAUGCAGCAACGCCGCGUGCGGGAUGACGGCCUUCGGGUUGUAAACCGCUUUCGCCUGUGACGAAGCGUGAGUGACGGUAAUGGGUAAAGAAGCACCGGCUAACUACGUG